Molecule: ribosomal RNA, 492 nt
Filed under: uncultured bacterium
Lineage: Bacteria
Description: partial 16S ribosomal RNA
Rfam family: Bacterial small subunit ribosomal RNA
Source: RNAcentral
AGUGAACGCUGGCGGUAGGCCUAACACAUGCGAGUCGAACGGCAGCACAGUAAGAGCUUGCUCUUACGGGUGGCGAGUGGCGGACGGGUGAGGAAUACAUCGGAAUCUACUUUUUCGUGGGGGAUAACGUAGGGAAACUUACGCUAAUACCGCAUACGACCUACGGGUGAAAGCAGGGGAUCUUCGGACCUUGCGCGAUUGAAUGAGCCGAUGUCGGAUUAGCUAGUUGGCGGGGUAAAGGCCCACCAAGGCGACGAUCCGUAGCUGGUCUGAGAGGAUGAUCGGCCACACUGGAACUGAGACACGGUCCAGACUCCUACGGGAGGCAGCAGUGGGGAAUAUUGGACAAUGGGCGCAAGCCUGAUCCAGCCAUACCGCGUGGGUGAAGAAGGCCUUCGGGUUGUAAAGCCCUUCUGUUGGGAAAGAAAAGCAGCAGGUUAAUACCCCGCUGUUCUGACGGUACCCAAAGAAUAAGCACCGGCUAACUUCGUG